MicroRNA precursor from Brassica oleracea var. oleracea, 125 nucleotides. It matches the Rfam family "MIR9563 microRNA precursor family". NCBI's taxonomy places the organism in Eukaryota, Viridiplantae, Streptophyta, Magnoliopsida, Brassicales, Brassicaceae. The record is from Rfam.
GGAACAUAAGAACCCGUCUCUUAACUUUUAACUUAAAAAAUUAAGAACCAGCUCUUAAAACUCUUAUUUAAGAACCGGUUCUUAGUUUUUUUAGUUAAAAGUUAAGAGACGGGUUCUUAUGUUCC